ACGGAAGGCAGCAGUGGGGAAUAUUGCACAAUGGGGGAAACCCUGAUGCAGCGACGCCGCGUGAGUGAAGAAGUAUUUCGGUAUGUAAAGCUCUAUCAGCAGGGAAGAAAAUGACGGUACCUGACUAAGAAGCCCCGGCUAACUACGUGCCAGCAGCCGCGGUAAUACGUAGGGGGCAAGCGUUAUCCGGAUUUACUGGGUGUAAAGGGUGCGUAGGCGGCAUGGCAAGUCAGAUGUGAAAGACCGGGGCUCAACUCCGGGGCUGCAUUUGAAACUGCCAGGCUGGAGUACUGGAGAGGCAGGCGGAAUUCCUAGUGUAGCGGUGAAAUGCGUAGAUAUUAGGAGGAACACCAGUGGCGAAGGCGGCCUGCUGGACUGUUACUGACGCUGAGGCACGAAAGCGUGGGGAGCAAACAGGAUUAGAUACCCUGGUA
This 434-nucleotide ribosomal RNA is filed under the name uncultured Lachnospiraceae bacterium. RNAcentral describes it as "bacterial SSU rRNA". It matches the Rfam family "Bacterial small subunit ribosomal RNA", at positions 341 to 792 of the family's 1533-position model. Lineage: Bacteria; Bacillati; Bacillota; Clostridia; Lachnospirales; Lachnospiraceae. The record is from RNAcentral.